Molecule: ribosomal RNA, 253 nt
Filed under: uncultured bacterium
Lineage: Bacteria
Description: partial 16S ribosomal RNA
Rfam family: Bacterial small subunit ribosomal RNA
Source: RNAcentral
UACGGAGGGAGCUAGCGUUGUUCGGAAUUACUGGGCGUAAAGCGCACGUAGGCGGCUUUGUAAGUUAGAGGUGAAAGCCCGGGGCUCAACUCCGGAACUGCCUUUAAGACUGCAUCGCUUGAAUCCAGGAGAGGUGAGUGGAACUGCGAGUGUAGAGGUGAAAUUCGUAGAUAUUCGCAAGAACACCAGUGGCGAAGGCGGCUCACUGGCCCGUUACUGACGCUGAGGUGCGAAAGCGUGGGGAGCAAACAGG